Molecule: ribosomal RNA, 427 nt
Filed under: uncultured bacterium
Lineage: Bacteria
Description: bacterial SSU rRNA
Rfam family: Bacterial small subunit ribosomal RNA
Source: RNAcentral
UGGGGAAUUUUGGACAAUGGACGCAAGUCUGAUCCAGCCAUGCCGCGUGCGGGAAGAAGGCCUUCGGGUUGUAAACCGCUUUUGUCAGGGAAGAAACGAGUUCCUCUAAUACAGAGACUUAAUGACGGUACCUGAAGAAUAAGCACCGGCUAACUACGUGCCAGCAGCCGCGGUAAUACGUAGGGUGCAAGCGUUAAUCGGAAUUACUGGGCGUAAAGCGUGCGCAGGCGGUUAUACAAGACAGAUGUGAAAUCCCCGGGCUCAACCUGGGACCUGCAUUUGUGACUGUAUAGCUAGAGUACGGUAGAGGGGGAUGGAAUUCCGCGUGUAGCAGUGAAAUGCGUAGAUAUGCGGAGGAACACCGAUGGCGAAGGCAAUCCCCUGGACCUGUACUGACGCUCAUGCACGAAAGCGUGGGGAGCAAACA